GUAAACGAUGGAUACUAGGUGUAGGGGGCGAUAGCCUUCUGUGCCGCAGCAAACGCAAUAAGUAUCCCGCCUGGGGAGUACGAUCGCAAGGUUGAAACUCAAAGGAAUUGACGGGGGCCCGCACAAGCAGCGGAGCAUGUGGUUUAAUUCGAAGCAACGCGAAGAACCUUACCAAGGCUUGACAUCCCUUGACGUGCAUAGAAAUAUGCAUUCCCUUCGGGGCAAGGAGACAGGUGGUGCAUGGUUGUCGUCAGCUCGUGUCGUGAGAUGUUGGGUUAAGUCCCGCAACGAGCGCAACCCUUAUUGCUAGUUGCCAGCGAGUAAAGUCGGGAACUCUAGUGAGACUGCCGGGGACAACUCGGAGGAAGGUGGGGACGACGUCAAAUCAUCAUGCCCCUUAUGUCUUGGGCUACACACGUGCUACAAUGGCCGGUACAAAGGGCAGCGAAGCCGCAAGGCGAAGCGAAUCUCAUAAAGCCGGUCCCAGUUCGGAU
Molecule: ribosomal RNA, 494 nt
Filed under: uncultured bacterium
Lineage: Bacteria
Description: bacterial SSU rRNA
Rfam family: Bacterial small subunit ribosomal RNA
Source: RNAcentral